Molecule: long non-coding RNA, 1163 nt
Organism: Episyrphus balteatus (marmalade hoverfly)
Lineage: Eukaryota; Metazoa; Arthropoda; Insecta; Diptera; Syrphidae
Exons: 3
Source: RefSeq, a predicted model, not a curated record
UUUGACAAAUUAGUUUUUAUUAAUAACAAAAUCUUAUCACCAUUUAGAAAAUCGGUUCAGGAUUUUUCGGUUACUUUUAGAAGAACUUUUGAUCAAAAAGUCGUGAAUUUCGUAUUAAAUUUGGAUUGAAGUAAAUAAAAAAAAAAAAUAAUACUUAUGUAUAACAAAUUAUUACAGUAAAUAGUGUAAGUAUUCAUGCAUCGUUAUUUAUUUUCGUUAUUUGUUUUAUUAGUGCAUUGCAUAUCGAAUUCCAGGAGAUUUUAAGAUUUAUUAAAGAAAGCUUGAAACCUGGAUGAAUGUUGAAUUACAUUUUAAUUUUUUUUUUUCAAACUCCUUUUUUUAUUUCGAAUCGUAGAAACAAAACAAAAUGUAUCACCCUUUGCCAUUUUAGUCCAGGAAACUGAAACAAAAAAAAAAACAAAUUUGAAAAAAAAUUACUACAAAACUAAAGUUUAGUGAAAGGUCACAAACAAGAAGCAUUCAGUUCUGAAUACAAAAAAAGUUACUCAUACGCUAUGUGAAGACUUAUCAAAAUAACUACUAUUUUACAAAAGGACAAAGAUCUUCGAUUAAACUCGUUCAUAAUGGAUAUAAUUUUGUCAAACUUUUGGAAAACAAAAACGGAACUAAAUGGUUACAUGCAAAACUCCUCGAUAUUUCUACACAACUGAUCGUUUAAUUGGAGUUCAACUUUCACACAAUGGCUAUCAAUAUGUAAAACUCUUACAAACAAAUAAGGGAGUCCAAUGGAUAUGCAUUAAUCGAAUAUCUACAAAAUGCCUCGCCAAAUUGCAAGUCAACUAUGAUUCCAAACUUUACAUUUUACACAAAGACCAUAAUCAUGAUCGUCCAAAACAAAUUCGUCGAAGGAAAAACUAUAUAAUUGGCUCACAUAGUGUCGGCUGAAUAUAAUUUUUUUUUUAAUAAAAAAAUUAUGCUUAAAUUAUAUAAUUUUAGAUUCUAAUUACAAUGUUUAAAUUAUUUAAUCUUUAUCAUUAAAUCUAUUUAUUUCAAGAGUGACAAAAUAUUACAAAUUGUGUAUUUUUUUUAAUUCAAUCUUUAUUCGAUUCGUUAUUCGAGAUACGUUCAUGGACAACAUCAAAACAUUCUUCACAUAUCCAUUCUCCUCCCGGACACUGUGGACAAUAUGUUAUGAUUUUCUU